AGCUCCAAUAGCGUAUAUUAAAGUUGUUGCAGUUAAAAAGCUCGUAGUUGGAUUUGUGGUAUAUGUUGAGCUCCCAUCCUAUUGGAUUGGUGUAGCCUGGCAUAGCCAUCCUUGGGCAGAACCUGUGUGGCAUUAGGUUGUCGUGCAGGGUAUGCUUAUCGUUUACUGUGAAAAAAUUAGAGUGUUCAAAGCAGGCUUAUGCCGUUGAAUAUAUUAGCAUGGAAUAAUAAGAUAGGAUCUUGGUACUAUUUUGUUGGUUUGCGCACCGAGGUAAUGGUUAAGAGGGACAGUUGGGGGUAUUCGUAUUCCAUUGUCAGAGGUGAAAUUCUUGGAUUUUUGGAAGACGAACUACUGCGAAAGCAUUUACCAAGGAUGUUUUCAUUAAUCAAGAACGAAAGUA
Molecule: ribosomal RNA, 400 nt
Filed under: phytoplankton environmental sample
Lineage: Eukaryota
Description: partial small subunit ribosomal RNA
Rfam family: Eukaryotic small subunit ribosomal RNA
Source: RNAcentral